CAUUGAAUCUAGGAGGCAAAGGUUGCAGUGAGGCAAGAUCACGCCACUGCACUCUAGCCUGGGCCACGGAGUGAGACUCCAUCUCAAAAUAAAGAAAAAAAAAUUGUAAGCAGAGGGUAAUUAAUAGAGGCAGACUUCACAUCUGUCCUGUGGGCUUCUUUUCCAGAGUUCCAUAUCCAGACUUUCAAACCAUGUUCUGGGGUCAUCCAAACAUUCCAUCCUCCUGACUCCAUAAACAGCUGGAUUCAUAACCCGCUCCAUACUUGAAAACGUGGGGAUUGGAAUUCGGGCUCUUUGUUCUGGUAAGCAUGUGACUGACUACAGCUGUCAACAUGGGCACCUCCGAAGUUACCUCGCAAAAACAAAGGUGUUUUGCAGUAUCAUGCUUCUUUUACAAUUUCCUGGGUCUCUAUUGAAGAAAAGAAAGGUAAGGAAUUACCUACAAACCUGGUGCUAUUUUUA
Molecule: long non-coding RNA, 462 nt
Filed under: Saimiri boliviensis boliviensis (Bolivian squirrel monkey)
Lineage: Eukaryota; Metazoa; Chordata; Mammalia; Primates; Cebidae
Description: lncRNA (ENSSBOG00000036770.1)
Source: RNAcentral